Meleagris gallopavo (turkey) is the source of this 2081-nucleotide non-coding RNA. The record is from RefSeq and is a predicted model, not a curated record. NCBI's taxonomy places the organism in Eukaryota, Metazoa, Chordata, Aves, Galliformes, Phasianidae.
UCUUGAGAAAGCGUUCUGUGUCUUUCAGUUGCUAAAUAGGGGAGAUAAAGGGAAAAUUGUAUUGUUUACACUAUUAAUGACUAUGAAAAAUUGAUCAGAAAAUUCAAGUUAAGAUGUUACAACUGAAUGUGUAGAACUUCUAUUGGGGAGAUAUUCUGUAAUAAAUGGUCACAGAUCAGGAUUUUUUGAACAGCAGAUUUUGGUUUCCUUCUGUUGGGGAAUGGUUAGGUCAGGGCUUGAAGUGGUGAUUGAGCACCUGGUGAAGGGAUGUGUCUGGCCCAGGGAGCACAGGCAGAUUGUUUGCUCCUGUGCUCCCCAGCUGACCAGGAGGGCACAGGUGGAGCCCCUGGGCUCAUUAUAAGGGCCAGCCUCUGAAGGGAGAGCAUCUCUUGGAUCUGGGCUGCUGCUGAUAAGGAGUGCUGCACAGCCAGAGAGCCCCUUCCCCAGCUGGCUUUCAGAGCAGCUGUUCAGUGAUUCCUGAACAUUUCUGCCAGUUCACCAGUCCCUGUUGUUGGAGCACGCUGUAGGUGUUUGUUCAUCUGUUAGCUCCUACAGAGGGUGUAUAUGGAUGUCAGAGCUGCUGCAGCUGGAAUCGUCAGUUGUGAAUUUUCUAUCUCCUGGUAUGGAAAUUCUGUUCCCAAAGAAAGAAUGAAGAGUCCCUGGCUGGAGUUGUGCUUUUUGGAGAGCGUGAGGUCUCUGUUCAGUAAUGCUCAGAGGAUUCUGUAGACACAAUUAUAUGCUUUCAAUAAAGCAUUUCAGCAAAUAAUUGAAGUGCAAGUGUUCACACGUACGUGGUAGGGUUUGUGUUACUUUUUAGAGCAGUGCAGUUCUGUGUGCUCCUUGAGAGCUCAGUGUUCUUGAAAACAGGUUCUCCUGAAAUCCUGAAUGAAAUCUGACUGCUACUCCUGUAGACUGCUCACUUGUGCAGGAAGCAGGCUGCAUCAGGAAGGUCCUUCUCCUUUGGAAGAGAAUGGGCUACAACUUCUUGCUGCUCUUUGUAGCAGUUUGUCCACUGGAGCUGCAGGACUUGAGGGGUUUACUUAUGAGGAGUUGCAAUGUAGAUGUUCUGUGUGGUUUGUGGUUGGUAUUUAUUUAUUUAUUUAUUUAUUUAUUUAUUGUGGAAAUACAAAGUGCAUAUAUUUUUUUGACGGCUACUAAUAACAUAGACAAAUACUCUAUAUUCUGUAUUCUAUUGCAUUACUUCUUAAAUAAUAAAAAUCAAAUGCUUUGUAUUUUUAUUUAGUAUCAGAACUGGUCACACUUAGUUCAUAUUUCUUUUUAGGAUACUUUAAGUAGAAGAACACACUUUAAAUUUCACAAUUUGUCAGCUUACCAUAGCUUACUCUUCACCUGUCCACCUAGGAGACAGGGCUGUGCUGGGAUGGAGCAGUGCUGUUUGUGUCACUGGCGCACUGCAGCUGGCUCCUCACCCACACUAAUGCUCACUUUUUCCCCAAAAAGUAUCACAUCGUGGCUUUAAAAGGUGCUGAAGGCAACCUUCUAGAAACUAACUGGUUUUGGAAGCUUGCUAAAAAUGCUGUGACUGGGGGGGGCUUUGCCCAGGGCAUCCUGCAGCACCAGGGGCCUUGCCUGCCUGGUGCGAGGGGAAAGCUGGAGCUGUGCUUGGUGCUCCUGAGUGCCACGGCUGUCAACAGGGACUGGGUGCCUGAUCACAUCAGCAGUUGCUGCCUCUUUUGUUCACUUGUAAUGUGGUUGCUAAUGGAUUCAUUCAAUUUUUCCCCAAACAUCAGUUAAGGUGAGAAUUAAUAUCUGAUAAUGGGGACCAAGAAAUCUCUGAAUGUUAAUGGUAUUAUGCAUGCUCUCUCUACCCCCCUUAUAUUUGCAUUCUAAUAGGAUUGGAAUAUUUCAAUGGCAUUUAAAAACCAACAGAAAACUCAUGUAAAGAGAUUUUGUGUAGGAAGACCCUCAAUGAUGCACCUUUGGAUAAGAAAUCUGGUUCACCAAUUUAUUCCUGAGAUCCCGUUUCAUAACCAGAGAGUGAAGAGACAGAAGUCUGAGUGAUUGUAAACAAAAAUGUAUUUAAGGUGAUUGGAUUUGAAUAAAUAUAUUUCUAGAUCUUA